Molecule: ribosomal RNA, 116 nt
Filed under: Pteropus alecto (black flying fox)
Lineage: Eukaryota; Metazoa; Chordata; Mammalia; Chiroptera; Pteropodidae
Source: RNAcentral
GUCUGCAGCCAUGCCAUCCUGAACAAGCCCAAUGUCUGAUCUCAGAAGCUAAGCAGGGUCAGGCCUGGUUAGUACUUGGAUAGGAGACCACCUACAGAGACCAGGUGCUGUAGGCA